UUUAGAUAAUAUUUAUAUUGUUGGAUAACAAAAUCAACUCGUAGAUCCAUUGCAAAAUAGUCUUAGAUUUCGAAUGGAGACGUGCGGUUUAAUUGCAGAUAAAGUGCGGUGCGGUUCAAAUAAUAACAAAAAAAAAAAUAUAUAUAUA
This 148-nucleotide small RNA is filed under the name Arabidopsis thaliana (thale cress). RNAcentral describes it as "ATSL078970". The record is from RNAcentral. Lineage: Eukaryota; Viridiplantae; Streptophyta; Magnoliopsida; Brassicales; Brassicaceae.